UUAUUUUUGAAUACUUCUGUGUUCAUGUGGUAGGGAAAACAUUGUUGUAUACUACAAAUUCCCUGUUUUGCUUUUAGGUUGGAGACUACAUAAGACUUUGACAGUUGGCGGGAAACCAUCAUCAACUGGAGAGAUGCCGGUAGAGGAAUGUCUGCGACUAAGUCAUGGGCCACUGGAUAAGGGUUGUUGAUGGCAAAACAGGUUGGAGACUACAUAAGACUUUGACAGUUGGCGGGAAACCAUCAUCAACUGGAGAGAUGCCGGUAAAAAGAUGGCCAUAAAACAGUGACCGCUGAUUCGCAUUGAGUUCUUUCUUACAUAUUGGAUGACCUAUGUUUUUUAUUGUUUAAAUCAUUGCGGCUUGGAAUGCUCUUUAAGAAAAGGUAGAGGAAUGUCUGCGACUAAGUCAUGGGCCACUGGAUAAGGGUUGUUGAUGGCAAAACAGGUUGGAGACUACAUAAGACUUUGACAGUUGGCGGGAAACCAUCAUCAACUGGAGAGAUGCCGGUAAAAAGAUGGCCAUAAAACAGUGACCGCUGA
Molecule: long non-coding RNA, 540 nt
Organism: Dreissena polymorpha
Lineage: Eukaryota; Metazoa; Mollusca; Bivalvia; Myida; Dreissenidae
Exons: 5
Source: RefSeq, a predicted model, not a curated record